This 24-nucleotide non-coding RNA is filed under the name Arabidopsis thaliana (thale cress). The record is from RNAcentral. Lineage: Eukaryota; Viridiplantae; Streptophyta; Magnoliopsida; Brassicales; Brassicaceae.
UCACGAGAGUGUUAUGAUUGUGGU